AUUGAACGCUGGCGGCAUGCUUUACACAUGCAAGUCGAACGGUAACAGGCCUUCGGGUGAUGCCGAGUGGCGAACGGGUGAGUAAUGCAUCGGAACGUGCCCAGAGGUGGGGGAUAACGCAGCGAAAGCUGUGCUAAUACCGCAUGUGAUCUGAGGAUGAAAGCGGGGGACCAGGCAGCAAUGUUUGGCCUCGCGCCUUUGGAGCGGCCGAUGUCAGAUUAGGUAGUUGGUGGGGUAAAGGCCUACCAAGCCGACGAUCUGUAGCUGGUCUGAGAGGACGACCAGCCACACUGGGACUGAGACACGGCCCAGACUCCUACGGGAGGCAGCAGUGGGGAAUUUUGGACAAUGGGCGCAAGCCUGAUCCAGCAAUGCCGCGUGCGGGAAGAAGGCCUUCGGGUUGUAAACCGCUUUUGUACGGAACGAAAAGGCUCUGGCUAAUACCUGGGGCUGAUGACGGUACCGGAAGAAUAAGCACCGGCUAACUACGUG
This 492-nucleotide ribosomal RNA is filed under the name uncultured bacterium. RNAcentral describes it as "partial 16S ribosomal RNA". It matches the Rfam family "Bacterial small subunit ribosomal RNA", at positions 30 to 507 of the family's 1533-position model. The record is from RNAcentral.